UUGGGGACUAGAAUGAAUGGUUUAAUAAAUUGGUUUGGUUUGUUUUACUAUAUAGUAAAUUAAAGGUGAAGUAAGAAUUCUUUAAUAUAUUAUGGGACGAUAAGACCCUAAAAGCUUUAUAACAAGAAUAUUUAUGGUGCUGCAUAAAAACUUAAUUAACUGGGGUAGUUUAUUUAGAUAAAUUAAAUAAUUAUUAAAUAUCCUUUAAAUAAAGAUUUUGUGUAAGUUACUUUAGGGGUAACAGUGUAAUAUACUUGGAGAGAUCUAAUCUAUAAGUAUGUUUGCAACCUCGAUGUUGAAUUAGAAAGUCUAUACAGGCAGAAUAUGUGUUAGAGAGUUUGUUCAACUUUUAAUUUUCUACAUGAUCUGAGUUCAAACCGG
RNAcentral lists this ribosomal RNA (381 nucleotides) under Shablogammarus chablensis. Its description in RNAcentral is "partial 16S ribosomal RNA". The stretch from base 239 to 381 matches the Rfam family "Bacterial large subunit ribosomal RNA", at positions 2475 to 2619 of the family's 2925-position model. Lineage: Eukaryota; Metazoa; Arthropoda; Malacostraca; Amphipoda; Gammaridae. The record is from RNAcentral.